AAAACGAAGUGUCUGUGGGCAGCCGUGAUUAACAAUAGUCCGAGGCUAAGGGCUGUUCUUGGCUCCAUGGGGUUUCUGCAGGAACUUCAAUACGACAGGAAGAUCAACCAAGCAAAGAACCUAGAAGGGAAGAAAGAAAAAGUUUCCUUCCCCUCCAGUUUUGGUGCCCAGUGGGGGGCACUUCGCGGCCUGGGCACGGCUCGUUCUGCUGCUGUGGCCACUGAGAAGUCCCAGGACUCCAGAUGAGAGCAGGCAGAAGACAUGCCUCUUUGAAAUACCUCACUGCCUGGACAAUAUAGGCCUAACCUUGGGAAGCCGCCUGCCUCACUGCUCCUGAAAUGAGUCACAACGUUCUCAGGACUGAGACUGGUUCACCUCCAGGCCUAGCAUGGAACCCAUCCUGGGUCCUGAAUUCAAGACCCUGAGAUCAAGACCUGAGCUGAGAUCAAGAGUCAGAUGCUUCACUGACUGAGCCACCCAGGUGCCUCCUGGCUCUUUUGUGUUUUAAGGUCAACACCAUUGACCUCCCCAGUGGAAAUUCUUUUUCCCACCUCUGUACUUUCCUACCACUUCAUCUUGGCACUGUUCAAGCACAUACCCACUUCUCUUAUAUUCUA
Molecule: long non-coding RNA, 617 nt
Organism: Mustela lutreola (European mink)
Lineage: Eukaryota; Metazoa; Chordata; Mammalia; Carnivora; Mustelidae
Exons: 4
Source: RefSeq, a predicted model, not a curated record